GCCUGGAGAGAGAAGUUAAUAGGGCUGAACCCAGUUCAGCUGGGGGAGGGGGAUGACUGGGAAGAAAAGCAGGUUGUUGAUUCUCACACAGUGAAAGAAGGUUGGCUGAAGUCAGGGAACUGAGCUGGUCUCUUCCUCCUUGAAGGAGGAUAGGUCUGCAACAGGGAGUACAAGACAGUGGAGAAUGAAAUCGACCUAGGUUUCUCUGCACUGGGAGAGAAGCCUGCAGAAUCAGGGACUGCCCUGCAAGGGGAAUGGAGAAAACUGUCCUGCAGUAGAACCAGCUUGGUGGCAGAAAGUGCUAAGAAAGUCCGCAGUGAGCCUGGGAAAGAGGCUUAGAGAGAGAGAGAGGCAGUGAUAUACUGUUAGCCUAAGAAGAGGCUGUGGCAAAAGCCCAAGACAAGUUGAGAUAGGAAGUGAUCCAGGGAGGCAGCAAGGGAUCUGCCUAGCUAGCUCUUGACUGGACUGGAACCCAGUAGAGGGGGUUGGCCUGGGUUCCCCAACUAGCCCACUGAGGAACAUGGGGUAGCAAUCUCUGGACACAAGGGGUAUGGAUUAUGGACACACCUUGAUACUAAGGAUACAUCCUGAGUUGGACUGAAGAUGGAUGGACUAUUGGAUUACUGGGUUAGUCUUGCCCAUCCAGGCUAUGUGACCUCAUUGGCAGGCUGAGUCACAAGAAGCAGUUUGCUGAAGCAGCUGUCAGUAGGGUACACCAGAUGAGCACGCACUAUGCUAUGCCAUGCCCAGCUACAAGGUCGCACGUGGGCUGUUUACCAACAUGCUUCUUGAAUUGUGGACCCCAGAACUGGACCCAGGAUUCCGACAGCAGUCACAUGAAUGUCAAAUUCACUGACUUUAGGGAUUAGAAGAGAGAUAAAGGAAUCGACUUUGAAUAAAGCAUGCGGUGGCAGGAGGAGAGGGCAGAUGAGCUACACAUUUGUUCCUUCUGCAGGUGGAGCCUAUCCUAAGUGAAGUGGUCUCUUCUGCUGUAGUGAGGCCUAGAAUCUUAAACUGUCCAAUGUGAAUAGAAGAUGACAAGACGCUACCUUAAAUUGUAAACAUGUUAUGUGAAAACUGUUUAUAAAUUAAGAAUAAAUGGGAGUCAAAACAUCUGCUACAAAUUAGAUGUGUUUAAACUGUACAAUUGCGAUGAAGGCUUGUGGUGAGGUCACAAUUGUUAUGGGAACAAUAUGUGUUGUCUUAUAA
Mauremys reevesii (Reeves's turtle) is the source of this 1209-nucleotide long non-coding RNA. RefSeq lists it as uncharacterized. The transcript has 4 exons. The record is from RefSeq and is a predicted model, not a curated record. Lineage: Eukaryota; Metazoa; Chordata; Testudines; Geoemydidae.